This 305-nucleotide ribosomal RNA is filed under the name uncultured bacterium. RNAcentral describes it as "bacterial SSU rRNA". It matches the Rfam family "Bacterial small subunit ribosomal RNA", at positions 334 to 653 of the family's 1533-position model. The record is from RNAcentral.
CAGGCCUACGGGGGGCAGCAGUGGGGAAUAUUGGGCAAUGGGCGCAAGCCUGACCCAGCAACGCCGCGUGAAGGAAGAAGGCUUUCGGGUUGUAAACUUCUUUUAUGAGGGACGAAAGAAAUGACGGUACCUCAUGAAUAAGCCACGGCUAACUACGUGCCAGCAGCCGCGGUAAUACGUAGGUGGCAAGCGUUAUCCGGAUUUACUGGGUGUAAGGGGCGUGCAGCCGGGAAGACAAGUCAGAUGUGAAAUCCCGCGGCUCAACCGCGGAACUGCAUUUGAAACUGUUUUUCUUGAGUACCGGG